UUGGGUUAAAUCAACGCGGGUCCUACAAUUUGGAAAUGGAACUCGGAUAGAAUGGUGGCACAUUCAUUGAUUUUAUCCAA
This 80-nucleotide microRNA precursor is filed under the name Medicago truncatula (barrel medic). RNAcentral's name for it is "MIR5269 microRNA precursor family". It matches the Rfam family "MIR5269 microRNA precursor family". Lineage: Eukaryota; Viridiplantae; Streptophyta; Magnoliopsida; Fabales; Fabaceae. The record is from Rfam by way of RNAcentral.